RNAcentral lists this long non-coding RNA (998 nucleotides) under Gallus gallus (chicken). RNAcentral describes it as "lncRNA (ENSGALG00010018307.1)". The record is from RNAcentral. Lineage: Eukaryota; Metazoa; Chordata; Aves; Galliformes; Phasianidae.
CUUCAGUAAGGCCUUUGAUGUGGUGUAGUGGAAAUGCUAAUUCAUGGCCCGAAACUGUGAUAGAGCACCUGGCAGGAAGGCAGGCCAACUCCAGGGAACUCAGGUGUAUGUAAUGUAAUGCACCUGAGUGACUGGAACCAGUGGAGCCAGGAUCCACUCUUUCCCAGACCUCAUUUGAGAGUUGAUAGUGGAGGUGAGAGUAUCUCUGUCCCUCUCUUCCUGAGGCCUUCCAAAGAAGAUAGGCAGUGAGGAGGAGGAGGAGGAGGAGGUGAUAUUGCUGAAAACAUUUUGCAUAAGUAAGUCUUGCUAUGAUGCUUGCAGAACUGCCUUCAACGAAUGAUGGACAAGACUUUUGACUAUCACAUUGAGUAUCAUAGAUUGCGUGAAAAAUUAUAGAGGGGUUUAGGUUGUUGCGUUCAUGCUGUAACGGGGCAAGGCUUGGCCGAGCACGGAAAAGAAUUCCCUGUUGCUCUGAUGAUUGCUUAAGAACUGUAGUAGAAAAUAGUAGGAAUAGUGUGCUGAAAUAUAUUUAGGAUUAGGCGUUUUGCGCUGCUUCGCGAUGUAUGGGUUAGGUGUGUGUGUAAGUAGUAUUUAGCUUAGGGAGGGGGAGAUGUUGUAGUAGGCGUCUUGCGGGGGCACGGGAUGUACGGGACAGGCCUCUCCCUAAACAUAGAGAGAUAGUGCUAUCGUGCUGACCUUGUUGCAGAGAAAACAGGAGAAGAAGAAGGAUGAUAAAAGAAUGUGGAAACGGCCAAAUAAGGCACAAUGUUAUCUGGUGUGAACUAAUCAGAGUGGGACAUGACAGCACGGUUAUCUAGGUAAAAAUGUAUAUAAGCUGUGUUUAGUAGUGAAUAAACGCCAUUUGCCUCACUUACUCCUGGGGUCUGGGUGAGCAUCUGGCCCCGACCUGGUAAAGGGUCGGUUUCGCCCAGCAGUAAGCCCUACAUGUGGACAGAGGACGAACACCGGACGAGCGAACGGAGACUACAUGCAACAGA